This 239-nucleotide ribosomal RNA is filed under the name uncultured bacterium. Its description in RNAcentral is "partial 16S ribosomal RNA". It matches the Rfam family "Bacterial small subunit ribosomal RNA", at positions 524 to 768 of the family's 1533-position model. The record is from RNAcentral.
UACGAAGGGUGCAAGCGUUACUCGGAAUUACUGGGCGUAAAGCGUGCGUAGGUGGUUUUUAAGUCCGUGUGAAGCCCUGGGCUCAACCUGGGAAUGGCAGUGGAUACUGGAAGCUAGAGUGCGGUAGAGGUAGUGGAAUUCCCGGUGUAGCAGUGAAAUGCGUAGAGAUCGGAGGAACACCAGUGGCGAAGGCGGCUACCUGGACCAGCACUGACACUGAGGCACGAAAGCGUGGGGAG